UCCUUCCAUAGCGCGGGUGCCCCGCAGUGACGUGUUCCAAUGUGGACAGCACGGAUUGGCCCCGUGGCCAGAAGGCGGAACCAGGAGCGCGGUUUCUGGCGCGGUCUUAGUGCCAGUCGAAUACAAGAGCUGCCGGAGCAUUGCUGACCCCGCCCCAGGCGCAUGCGCCGCAGCAGCUGCUAUUGGAGAUGCUGCGGGGAAGCCUCAGCGUUGGGAGCCUGAGCACCAGCCCACACAGCCACCGAACUGCACUUCGGACCACGACUUCAGCUGCCCCGGUGAGGGCGUGAAGCUCUAGCCCCUGGUUUACAGCUGAGGAGCUAGUACAGGACCCUGCAGCCCGUGUCCUCAACAACUUGGGCUCUGGCCCCUGCAGUAGUUUCCCCACAGAACAUCCCGUCAUGUUCGAGCAGCGCCGGGGCCUAAGCCCACCUCAGCUACAGCUGCAGGCUGAGGCCUGGGGGCAGCAGGUCCAGGGAACUUUUUCUGCCAGAAGGGGAAGCUCAUGGAUGUAGAAAACAGGAGCUUUCACAGUAGCUGCUCUGAGCCUGUGGAGUGAACUGCCUGAGGAAGGAGGGACUUUCCCACCCUCCCCAUCUUCCAGGCCAACAGCCAGGUGCACUUCUCCAGGCUCCCUCGCUACUGCAGCCAGAGCUCAGAGACCAUUUAGAAAAAACCCCAAAGCCCUUGGUUGCUCACAGCCCUCCCCGGUGAUAAAAACCAGUGCAGAAGAAAGUAACCUGCCUAACUCCCACAGUAAGUCUCACUGAGAUAGGAUUUGAACCCAGGUCACUUGCAGUUCAGGCCACUACCCAGUUCUUGUCUUUCGAGGGUCAGACCCCACUUUCUCCUGUUCCAAAAGCAGAGGCUGCUGGCACUGAAGGCAAAGCAUCAUUAGCUAUAUAAGGAGGAAGCGGUCUGGUCUAGUACAUCUAGAAUUGGUACAUAUUAGCCUAUUCAUGUAUAGUGUCAAGUCAAGUCUUGUCCAGAAAGCGAACAAACAGGCAAAUCCUGACAAACACUAGGCUUUAAACCCCUACACAGCUGAAGACAGAUAUGAAGUAGAAGGGAUUUCCUGCUUCCAUGAUGUCCAUUUUGGGGGUCACAAAACAGGCAUAAGGCAGCCCUAGGCCACUGCCCUUGUAAGGGAAGAGCCUGGGCAGGCAUAGGGCCUGUUCUACACCCCCUGAGAGAGACACUGCUGUUGGAGGAGGCCUGGUCACAGGAGAGGGUUCUCAUGACAGCCAUUCCCCCACAGUGCAGAGGGGCUAUUGCAGGCAGGGUGCAAGUGGGAUCAGCUCUGACAGUUCCUUUGACCUUCAGCGAGGUGUACAUUUUCCCCUGGCAGCUCUAGGCUAGGGAAAGCACAGCCACCUUCCCCACCCGCACAUAGGGCUCAGCACAUGCUGACAGAUGAAUCACCCUUUCUCCCCCCCAGGUAAUCUACAAAUACUACAAUUACACUGCACUGCAGGUUCUCAUUCCUCUUGUUUUUAAAAAGGAGUGUCUGCUGUGUUUCAAUUAACACACACCAGCCCAAGGAAUGUUCUCUCCCCUCCUCUUUUUAAAAGAAAAACCUCAACUCCAACAGGCACUUUUCCACAGCUCUGCCCUCUGUGGGGAUUGGUGUAGGGACCACAUCCUGCACUUAGCAGCAUGAGAUGUUCCAUUUGCUUUUCUUCAAACUAAAUCCAGAGGUUUGGGAAAUACCAAUGUAGAAUCCCUGUGCACCUGUAGAAAGCAGGAUGGGGUUGGGGUUGUUCUGCAGAGAUUCGCCUUGAAGAGAGACUUUUAGAAAUCAUUUCCGUGUUGAGAUUGACUGUGCAAGCUGGCAAAAUGCUAAACUACUUGGUUUACUGCAAUUACCCUUUAGAAACUCUGAUGCUGUUCUUACUGUCUAGCAAGAAUGGUUACCUCCUGCUGGGCUGACCCCCCACAUCUGCAAAACUCUUUAUUUUUAAACACAGAGCCUGCCCCUGAGAACAGGUUUGACUUCCCCACUAGGUCCACCUUAGUGGGAGUGCGGAAGUAACAUUGGCUGUAGCUGACAUGUACAGGGUUUGUACGCUGAUUUGUCAGUGUGGUCGUGUUGUUUAAAGAGGCACAAGACUUCCCCAAAUUUAGAAGCAUCAGAAGUGGCUCCAUGAAGUUGAAUCCCAAUAAAAAAAAGCUGAUAUUUACACCUUCCUGUCUGCAACCCAAACAGUGCAGCACUGUGCUACCACCCAAGAACCAGCGAGACCAACUGACCUGGAUAUUGGAAAGAUUUAAGAUGAUUGGAGCAAGAACAGGGGAGGUAUAUUUAUUAGCACUUAACUUUAACAGUGAUACAGAAACUACUGUGUGAUUCUAGAACCCAACUCCAUCCCUCAAAUUUAAGACAGGGCUUUUAGCUACCAGACCCACCUCCCUAAUAUUAAAGAAGAUCAUGGAGGAAUCAACUAUACUGAUGGGGUUCUGGAGAAGAAAAAAAAAAUAUAUGGAGGCAGUGAAUGCUUUUUAAAUGCUGGUAGUGCCUGCCUACAAUAUACAAGCCCCUCCCUAAAUGAUCUCUGCUAAAUUUACUGAUGUGAUACUGCCAAUUGUAAAAAUGAUCUUGUCCACUCAGUUCCAAAAGUCCAGCUUCUGGGACUAAUUAGAUUGUGAAUAAAGAGCUUAAGUAAUGUAGUGUCUCCACAUUGUCCAUAGACUGGCAACAAAAACAGAAGUUCUUUAAGAACAACUCCAGGUUAGACAAGAGAUGAAAUAUUGCUGAUGGAAGUGGGGGGUUGUAUUUUUCCUCUGGUUAUCCAAACUUGCUGUUAUUUAUCCAGGCAGAAUGUGAUAGCACUGGUCUACAUACAGCUCGCUGUCAUUCAGGAUCUUAACCUAACUGAAUUGGGUUUUCUGCUGCUUUCUAUGUGCACAAAUCCAAACAUUUCACCAUCAUCAACAAGACAACCCAGAGCCCUCAAAGCUUUAGGGGAUUUUUGUACAGAACUUGCACACCAUGUAUCCAGUCCUAACUCUGGGUACAGGAGGAGGGAUGAUCAGUCUAGGUGGCUGUGGAGUUUAUGGCUGAGAAGCAUAUUGCACGAACCAGGCCCACUCUAGCUAGAACUAAAUACAAGACUCCUUGGUUUUCAGUGCUGGCUUCCCCUGUUUGUAGUCAUUUAUUCCUCACUGCUUCUGUCUCCUUUCAGGAGGGAUUCUGUAUUCAAAUAAUCCCAGCCUUGACUGGAAUGCAGACUGAUGAAAGGAGUACUCCAGCAGGGCACUACUAUCAAGAUUUAAUUGCACACCGGAGGAGAGGGGUGAAGUAUGUCAUUCAGUCUGCAGGCAGGGGGUGCAGAGAAAUGAAUGCACUAGCAAUUUAUGAGAAGCCUAAUGUUUCAUCAGGCAGCCAGUUUUCCAUCUUGCUUCCCUGAAUCAUACAGCAAGCUUGUAAUCCAUGCUUAGCACAUACUAGAAGCCAUGACAUGUCUCAAACCACAGCACUCAGUGAUGGAGGUUGCCAUGCUCUAACAGGCCCCACCAACUAUUACCCACUCCAUUUGGAAUUAAAGGAUGGAUUUACAGAUUAGCAGCAAAGAAAGCUAUUCCUAGGGCAGCACCUGUACAGUUUGGGCUGGUUGACAACCUUUCCCCCAGAAUCUGCAGUAUGGCAGGUGUGGGUCAGAGACUGUGGUGUUGGCAGAGCUGCAGAUGGAGUGACUUGCAAUGUCAGGAAGAGGUCAUUUAAAUUCACGUUUAUAAGCAAUCAAAAAUAAGUGUUUUUAAGGCUACUUGGCAUGUUAGUUUAAAGACUCUUCCCCAUCUCUCCCUGCCAAAAACACUCAAACUCAUGACUGAGGUUUCAUCAGAAGGUGGCAAUAGCUGAAGAGUUGGGAGCAGUUUGGAAUUCUCCUUGGUAGCAGAGCAUUCCCCCACUGCAAUAUCAAAUUCUGAUUCAAGAAGAGCUGGACAGAGGGACUCAAGAUUUCAAAAAACAAAAAAACACAGUACCUUGUUCACUGCACUUUCCUCUAAUAAAUCUGACUUAUGUUCUCCAA
This is a long non-coding RNA of Mauremys reevesii (Reeves's turtle), 4031 nucleotides long. RefSeq lists it as uncharacterized. Lineage: Eukaryota; Metazoa; Chordata; Testudines; Geoemydidae. The record is from RefSeq and is a predicted model, not a curated record. The transcript is spliced from 2 exons.